Dipodomys ordii (Ord's kangaroo rat) is the source of this 67-nucleotide non-coding RNA. The record is from Rfam. Lineage: Eukaryota; Metazoa; Chordata; Mammalia; Rodentia; Heteromyidae.
GGGAAGGUAGCUCAGUAGAGUGCAUGCCUUGCAAGCAUGAGGCCCUGGGUUCAAUUCCUCAGCACCA